This 1894-nucleotide unclassified non-coding RNA is filed under the name Hevea brasiliensis (rubber tree). Lineage: Eukaryota; Viridiplantae; Streptophyta; Magnoliopsida; Malpighiales; Euphorbiaceae. The record is from RNAcentral.
GAAAACUGAAAAAUGAAGGACAAAUGUUCCAAGAGUAAACAACAAGGCGUUAAUGUUAUUGCAUUUGUUUUCUUACGUCCUUUUCCUUCUGCAUAGAUCUCUUCGCCCUUUCCUCAAAAAUGCCUACCCAUAGCGAAAACUGAGCAGAACGGAAAACUACUAACCAAACAUGCCCUUCUCCUCUUACAUUGGCGGCAACAUUCGCCGGGGGGGUGGAGGUGGAGGAGCCGGCACCACCUGGGCUCAAUCACUCCUCCCCUCCUUCGCCGCCAAAUCAAAGCUUCCUUCAAGAAAGUCUCGCCGGCGGACGGCUCUGAUAAACUUCCUAUUCACUAACUUCUUCACUAUAGCUCUCUCGAUCUCUCUCAUCUUCCUUCUCAUCACCAUCCUCCACUUUGGCGUCCCUAAGCCUCUUUCCUCUCCCUUCAAACCCAAAUCCAAAUCCAGUUUUCGCGUUCUGAAGCCUCGCAAGACUAUCCCUCGAAAACCCCAAAACGACAAAGGUGCCGUUUUGGGGGCUGUGGUGGAUAUAACUACAAAGGGUUUGUAUGAUAAGAUCGAAUUCUUGGAUGUGGAUGGUGGGCCUUGGAAGCAAGGAUGGAGAGUGAGCUAUAAAGGGAAUGAGUGGGAUACUGAGAAGUUGAAGGUGUUUGUGAUGCCUCAUUCGCAUAAUGAUCCUGGGUGGAAAUUGACUGUUGAUGAGUAUUAUGAGAGGCAAUCUAGGCACAUACUCGAUACAAUUGUGGAAACACUUUCAAAGGAUGGUCGGCGGAGGUUCAUAUGGGAAGAAAUGUCUUAUCUGGAGAGAUGGUGGAGAGAUGCAGCAGAGGACAAAAGGGAAUCUUUUACCAAUUUACUGAAGAAUGGCCAGUUAGAAAUUGUUGGUGGUGGUUGGGUAAUGAAUGAUGAGGCCAAUUCACAUUAUUUUGCCAUAAUUGAACAGGUAUACACUGUAAUCUUUCCUUUUACUUAGAUGUUCUCGUUUGUUACUUUAAUGAACUCAUGCACUCGUAACUUAAUAAAUUGUAAGUAACCAUAAUGGACAUUAGAUUUGGAUCUUUGUUUUCAAUUGUUGUUUAAUUAUGUAGCCUUCUUUUGGUUCAUAUUAACAAGAGAACAGCAAAGAAGGUGAGGGAGUAAGAAAGAAACCCUUUCCUAUCCUGGAAAGGAAAAGAAAAAGUCAGUUUUGUUAUUUUCUUGAUUGCUAAUGAGUCAAAGGUUUGUGGUGGGACCGUGGGAGCUAACAUGUGAAUUAAAUUGCACAAUAAAUCUGGCAUGUACUUUUCAAGUGAUGUACACAAAAACCUGUGGAAGAUUCAAAGAGUGUAUUCAUAGAUACUGUCAGUAGGGUCUUUGGGGUGAUUAGUUUUCUUUGGUAGUCUUCGGCAUGUUGAAAAUAACUUGUGCAACCCACACACAGAGAAUAGAAUAAUAAAUAGAGAACGAGAGAUAAUAACAAUUUCAAGACAUAAGGAAUUUUACAUGUUUCAGCAAUGUGCCUAGAUCCGUGGAGAGCCACGUGCAAUUUUUCACUAUUAAGGAAAAGAUUACAAGUGCCUAUUUAUAGACGCUAGAGUUUUCCUAUAUUAGACAUAGAAGAAACUUUGCUCCUCACAAACCCCUACCCUCUGCCGCUUUUUUCACCCCUGAAGCUUAGGGUGCGGCAUCUUCUUUGAGUAUGAGCCACAAUCACAACAACCCAUUUUGCUCAUUGUACUUGGCUCCUUAUAUUGUUGUGUAUCUUUUGAUGUUAUCCACUGAUCAAAAUUACCUUGCAUAUUUUUUUGGUUAGUGAUUUGAUGCAUUUGAUUUUACUUGCGAUAAAUAUUUUUUGCAUUUCAUUCUUGAGCUGGUUAGCAAAUGAGGGAUUCAUUUAUUUUGGAUUUGUAAAAAC